This 70-nucleotide transfer RNA is filed under the name Ephemera orientalis (oriental mayfly). RNAcentral describes it as "tRNA-Trp". It matches the Rfam family "tRNA". Rfam says of the family: Transfer RNA (tRNA) molecules are approximately 80 nucleotides in length. Their secondary structure includes four short double-helical elements and three loops (D, anti-codon, and T loops). Lineage: Eukaryota; Metazoa; Arthropoda; Insecta; Ephemeroptera; Ephemeridae. The record is from RNAcentral.
AAGGCUUUAUGUUAAUUUUAAACAAAUAGCCUUCAAAGCUAUAAAUAUAAGUAUAAUCUUUUAAGCCUUA